RNAcentral lists this ribosomal RNA (497 nucleotides) under uncultured bacterium. Its description in RNAcentral is "partial 16S ribosomal RNA". It matches the Rfam family "Bacterial small subunit ribosomal RNA", at positions 28 to 507 of the family's 1533-position model. The record is from RNAcentral.
GAUGAACGCUGGCGGCGUGCCUAAUACAUGCAAGUCGAGCGAACAGAUGAGGAGCUUGCUCCUCUGACGUUAGCGGCGGACGGGUGAGUAACACGUGGAUAACCUACCUAUAAGACUGGGAUAACUUCGGGAAACCGGAGCUAAUACCGGAUAAUAUAUUGAACCGCAUGGUUCAAUAGUGAAAGACGGUUUUGCUGUCACUUAUAGAUGGAUCCGCGCCGCAUUAGCUAGUUGGUAAGGUAACGGCUUACCAAGGCGACGAUGCGUAGCCGACCUGAGAGGGUGAUCGGCCACACUGGAACUGAGACACGGUCCAGACUCCUACGGGAGGCAGCAGUAGGGAAUCUUCCGCAAUGGGCGAAAGCCUGACGGAGCAACGCCGCGUGAGUGAUGAAGGUCUUCGGAUCGUAAAACUCUGUUAUUAGGGAAGAACAAAUGUGUAAGUAACUAUGCACGUCUUGACGGUACCAAAUCAGAAAGCCACGGCUAACUACGUG